GGUCUCAUAGCACAAUGGUAGUGCAUCUGAGUGUAAUACCUCGCACCAGGCAUUGCUCAGGCAGUCCCCCGUUCGAUUCGGGUUGAGACCU
Non-coding RNA from Mycena latifolia, 91 nucleotides. The record is from the annotation of a GenBank genome assembly. Lineage: Eukaryota; Fungi; Basidiomycota; Agaricomycetes; Agaricales; Mycenaceae.